GAAACAACUCUCAGCAACGGAUAUCUUGGCUCUUGCAACGAUGAAGAACGCAGCGAAAUGCGAUACGUAUUGUGAAUUGCAGAAUUCCGCGAAUCAUCGAGUCUUUGAACGCAAGUUGCGCCCGAGGCUUGUCCGAGGGCAUUUCCGCUAGAGCGUCACC
Molecule: ribosomal RNA, 160 nt
Filed under: Neckeromnion calcicola
Lineage: Eukaryota; Viridiplantae; Streptophyta; Bryopsida; Hypnales; Neckeraceae
Also listed under: 1 other name
Description: Neckeropsis calcicola 5.8S ribosomal RNA
Rfam family: 5.8S ribosomal RNA
About the family: 5.8S ribosomal RNA (5.8S rRNA) is a component of the large subunit of the eukaryotic ribosome. It is transcribed by RNA polymerase I as part of the 45S precursor that also contains 18S and 28S rRNA.
Source: RNAcentral